Pomacea canaliculata is the source of this 292-nucleotide long non-coding RNA. RefSeq lists it as uncharacterized. Lineage: Eukaryota; Metazoa; Mollusca; Gastropoda; Architaenioglossa; Ampullariidae. The transcript has 3 exons. The record is from RefSeq and is a predicted model, not a curated record.
GUAAUAAUCAUCAUGGCUUUGGUGUGGCUGCAAGCAGCAGUUGUUGACGGGUGCACUCGGAUAGCUUAUAGGUGUACUACACAAAAAGAAUGUUGCCCAGAUACCUCAUGCGUGCAUCUUCCUCAAGACCGAUAUCCCUUAUUUACAUGCGUGAACGACAAUGUCAUCUGCCUAAGGCGUGCCCCUGAAAGUUAAAAAAGUAAAAGGAGAUUAUCAAUCAAGAGCUAGAAUUGAUGAGGACUUCAGAGUGUUUCAGGGAUACCAGCUGUAACGACAACUCUCAAAUGCCGAG